CCCUUAGAUGUCCUGGGCUGCACGCGCGCUACACUGACACGUUCAGCAAGUUUCCUAUUCCGAAGGGAAAAGGUAAUCUUUUGAAAUCGUGUCGUGAUGGGGAUAGAUUAUUGCAAUUAUUAAUCUUCAACGAGGAAUGCCUAGUAAGCGCAAGUCAUCAGCUUGCGUUGAUUACGUCCCUGCCCUUUGUACACACCGCCCGUCGCUCCUACCGAUUGAAUGGUCCGGUGAAGCGUUCGGACCGUGGCCUUUGGACGGUUCGCCGUCUGUUGGCUGCGGGAAGUUCGUUAAACCUUAUCAUUUAGAGGAAGGAGAAGUCGUAACA
Molecule: ribosomal RNA, 325 nt
Filed under: uncultured eukaryote
Lineage: Eukaryota
Description: partial 18S ribosomal RNA
Rfam family: Eukaryotic small subunit ribosomal RNA
Source: RNAcentral